This 871-nucleotide ribosomal RNA is filed under the name uncultured archaeon. Its description in RNAcentral is "bacterial SSU rRNA". It matches the Rfam family "Archaeal small subunit ribosomal RNA", at positions 7 to 886 of the family's 1478-position model. The record is from RNAcentral.
GGGGAUCCUGCCGGAGGCCACUGCUAUCGGAGCUCGAUUAANCCAUGCGAGUCGAGAGGUGCAAGACCUCGGCAUACUGCUCAGUAACACGUGGACAACCUAACCUAAGGUGGGGGAUAACCCCGGGAAACUGGGGAUAAUACCCCAUAGGCUAUGAAUGCUGGAAUGCUUCGUAGUUGAAAGGUCAGCCGCCAUAGGAUGGGUCUGCGGCCGAUUAGGUAGUUGUUGGGGUAACGGCCCAACAAGCCUGUAAUCGGUACGGGUUGUGGGAGCAAGAGCCCGGAGAUGGAUUCUGAGACACGAAUCCAGGCCCUACGGGGCGCAGCAGGCGCGAAAACUUUACAAUGCGGGAAACCGUGAUAAGGGAACUCCGAGUGCCCGUUAAAUCGGGCUGUCCAUCAGUUUAAAAAACUGGUGAAGAAAGGGCCGGGCAAGACCGGUGCCAGCCACCGCGGUAAUACCGGCGGCUCGAGUGGUGGCCACUAUUACUGGGCUUAAAGCGUUCGUAGCUGGUUUGUUAAGUCUCUGGGGAAAUCUUCCGGCUUAACCGGAAGGCGUCUCAGGGAUACUGGCAGACUAGGGACCGGAAGAGGUGAGGGGUACUCCAGGGGUAGGAGUGAAAUCCUGUAAUCCUUGGGGGACCACCUGUGGCGAAGGCGCCUCACCAGGACGGCUCCGACAGUGAGGGACGAAAGCUGGGGGAGCAAACCGGAUUAGAUACCCGGGUAGUCCCAGCCGUAAACGAUGUGCGUUAGGUGUAUCGGUGACCACGAGUCACCGAGGUGCCGAAGAGAAAUCGUGAAACGUACCGCCUGGGAAGUACGGUCGCAAGGCUGAAACUUAAAGGAAUUGGCGGGGGAGCACCACAACG